UCGAUCGGCUACGAAAUCAAUUAGGUUUGGCUUAUGUUGGGUUUGGCUGUUCGGUGCGGCGGCGGCGGCUGCGGCUGCGGUGGCGCCGGCGCCUACCUGACGGCUCAGAGAACAACGGCGGCUCGGAGCGGAGCUGGCCGCAGCGGCGUUCUUGCUGCGGGAACUGGGGCCAGGGGUCUGAGCCUUAGGGUUUCCUUCUCGCCCAACUCCCACCCCCACCGCGUCGGUACUUCAUGCCCGUGGCCAGUGCGUUGCUCCCCCGGCCCUUCUCCGGAUCUGCGCGUCAGUAAGAAGAAGAGGGACGAGGCAUGGGAUGCGUUGAAGACGGAGAUCGGCCGCUCGUUCCGCCCACAUCUGCGCAAUCUAGGCGAGAUCUUUUCGCUCCGCAGCCCCUACGACCUGGAAGACUACCAGAUUGGCAUGCUCUUUGGUGCAUUUCUUGGAUGUGUUGGCUGUUACCAACUGUGGAAGACGGCGCCUUCCAUAUUUGUUGAUGCCUUCCUUGCAUUCAUCUUCUACAAGCUCAGUGUUGUGUCCUCAGAGUUACAUAGAAACGACAAGUCCAACAGCUUGAUUACGCGGCUGAAAUUCGGUACCAUACUUAUCAUGGUUUGGAAGGACAUCAAGAAAACCUAUGUCCUCCUGGAUGUUGUUAGGAUGCCGGUUUUCCUCCUCUACAUCUGUGCAUUCCUGUUCGAUGUUGCUGGCGUGAAGAAUUAUGGAAGGCGUGGCUUGGUGUAUUUUGUGAAUCUGAUGAAAACCAGAGGUGGGAUUCAAGAGAUAUGCAGGAUUAUGUGGUUGCCUGGCUAUAUCUCUCCCUAUGAUGAUGGAUUGAACUGGUCAUGAGGCUCAGGUCCUUGCGCAUGCAUGAGAAUGAGACCGCAUCCCCUUGGGUACUUCCUGGAUGGGCAUGUAUCGAAUCAGACUUCUAGAGAUUUGCAAAGGAUUUUGUUCAGUUUGAGGGAUUCAGUGUAGUAGCGCCUCAUCCAAACAAGCCUUUGUUCGGGCGUAGAAUAUGGGAGCCCCAGUCUGUAAUAUAUAUAUUUGCUACAAGUUCUCGUCUGUACAAGCCACCAUAUGUAGUAUCUAACUUAUCUUAGAUGAAUAUCUACUCCCCUCAUCUCAAAAUAAGCGACUCAACUUUGCACUAACUUUGUAUUAAAGCUAGUAUAAAAUUGAGUCAUUUGUUUUGGGACGGAGGGAGUACAUAGUUUCUCCUUUUCUUACUAAUAAAUCUAGUAUCAAACUUACCUUA
RNA transcript from Hordeum vulgare subsp. vulgare (domesticated barley), 1255 nucleotides. RefSeq lists it as uncharacterized. The transcript has 5 exons. Lineage: Eukaryota; Viridiplantae; Streptophyta; Magnoliopsida; Poales; Poaceae. The record is from RefSeq and is a predicted model, not a curated record.